Molecule: ribosomal RNA, 486 nt
Filed under: uncultured Nocardioides sp.
Lineage: Bacteria; Bacillati; Actinomycetota; Actinomycetes; Propionibacteriales; Nocardioidaceae
Description: partial 16S ribosomal RNA
Source: RNAcentral
CACGUAGUUGGCCGGUGCCUCUUCUGUACCUACCGUCACUUGCGCUUCGUCGGUACUGAAAGAGGUUUACAACCCGAAGGCCGUCAUCCCUCACGCGGCGUUGCUGGAUCAGGCUUCCGCCCAUUGUCCAAUAUUCCCCACUGCUGCCUCCCGUAGGAGUCUGGGCCGUGUCUCAGUCCCAGUGUGACCGGUCACCCUCUCAGGCCGGCUACCCGUCGAAGCCAUGGUGAGCCAUUACCCUCACCAUCAAGCUGAUAGGCCGCGAGCACAUCCCUGGCCGAAAAACUUUCCACCACCAAACAUGCGUAAAGUGGUCAUAUCCGGUAUUAAUCACCGUUUCCGGUGGCUAUCCCAAAGCCAGGGGCAGAUUACUCACGUGUUACUCACCCGUUCGCCGCUCGAGUACCCCGAAGGGCCUUUCCGCUCGACUUGCAUGUGUUAAGCACGCCGCCAGCGUUCGUCCUGUAGCCGAGGAUCGAAACCUCU